CUCUCUCCCCUCGCCUAUCUCCUCCCCCGACGCGCCUGCACCAACAGUGGAAGAGCUCGCUAGCGAAGCAGGCCUGGGUUGCGGCGCACAGCGUGAACGCGUUCGGCAAGAGACCCUCCUCGAGCGUCUCACCGAAAAGGCGGAGCGCCUCCGCCUCAGCGCCAUUUUGCGAGAGGCAGGACACCAUGGCCGUCCAGGAGAUGAGGUCCCGCAGGCCGACGGGCAUUCCGUCGAACACGCUGCGCGCGGCGGCCACGACGCUACACAUGCAGUAGAGCGUGAGGAGCGAGUUGGCGACGACGGAAUCAGUCUCGACCUAUAGGAAUCGUUGAAUGCCCGGUACAACCGAUCAAGUUUCGACAACCCCUGGUUCGUCAUCGGGGUCUCCUACUCCGGCGCUCUCAGCGCCUGGUUCAGGCUCAAGUUCCCCCAUUUGACAUGUGGGAGCCUCGCGAGCUCAGGGGUGGUUCUUGCAGUGUACAACUACACCGACUUUGACAAGCAGGUUGGAGAGUCAGCUGGUCCUGAGUGCAAAGCUGUCCUUCAGGAAAUAACUGAACUCGUUGACGAACAGCUCCGGCUGGAGAGUCACUCGGUGAAGGCUCUAUUUGGAGCACAGAUGCUGAAAAACGAUGUCGACUUUCUCUUCUUCCUGGCGGAUGCCGCAGCGAUAACAGUAUGCGUAAUUUUUUUUCUAAGUUGCUUUAUUAUAGAAGUACGUUUUGUGGAUGUUUGAGAGUGGAUGCUAUUUUGCAGUUCCAAUACGGGAACCUAGAUGCCUUGUGCCCUCCAUUAAUACAGGCAAAGAAGAACAGGAAAAACUUGGUGGUACAUGUCCCUUCUAUAAUUGUACAUGAGAUCUGUAAAAUCUUACUGGAAGACAGAAGGAGCCAGCAAAGAAAUAACUAUCCUUGUAUUAACAUUUUAAUGUAAAUUGUUUUACCAAUUAAACUCCCCUGCCAAUAGCAAAUAAGAGGAAUAAGCAUAGUAGUUUAAUCUAUAAAGAUGGAAAAUAGUUACACUGUUGAGUGAAAAUUCUGCAGGCAACCUGUCGAUGGAUGACCAAACACAUUAUACAAUUUUACUAUUAUAUCUUCCUCUUUUAGAGCAUCCUUUUUGAUCUUCCAUUUACUGGUUUUGCAGGAAGCAUAUGCUCAAUUUGUGUUUUUAGAUCCAUGAUAUGUUGUCGGUCUGUUGUUUGUAGUCCUAGAUAUCUUCGUUUUUGUCACUACUAAAAACACCGAUCGGUUCUGAUGUACUGCUAUUUAUUGCUCUGAUAUUUUUGUCAUGUAUGUGAUUGGUGACUUGGGCUUUACUAGAGGAACAUUCGUGGUAUAGUUUUGAAGAGAGAAGUGAGUCAUAAAAUUAGAGAUAUCUGCAUUCAUUGUGAUCUAUCUUUAACACUUCAUUUUUACUGUAGACAUCAAGUAAGUGGCGACAUCACAACCCCUACAAGUUUGUGCCUCAAAACAAGAGGAUACAAGAAGUUGGAGUGCUUUUGUGAAGGCUUUUGCGAAUCACUUGAAACGUUGGUACUUUUGUGAAUGAUUUUGUAAAGUGUUUGCAAAUAUGUGCAAAACAUAAUAACAUGUGUAGGUUUUGUG
This is an RNA transcript of Zea mays, 1604 nucleotides long. RefSeq lists it as uncharacterized. Lineage: Eukaryota; Viridiplantae; Streptophyta; Magnoliopsida; Poales; Poaceae. The record is from RefSeq and is marked validated. The transcript has 3 exons.